UGGGGGAUAUUGCGCAAUGGGGGAAACCCUGACGCAGCAACGCCGCGUGAAGGAAGAAGGUCUUCGGAUCGUAAACUUUUGUGUUUGGGGAAGAAACAAAUGACGGUACCCAAGGAGGAAGCCACGGCUAACUACGUGCCAGCAGCCGCGGUAAUACGUAGGUGGCGAGCGUUGUCCGGAAUUACUGGGUGUAAAGGGCGUGUAGGCGGGCUUGUAAGUCUGGUGUGAAAUACCGCAGCUUAACUGCGGGGCUGCAUUGGAAACUAUAAGUCUUGAGUGCUGGAGAGGGAAGCGGAAUUCCUAGUGUAGCGGUGAAAUGCGUAGAUAUUAGGAGGAACACCAGUGGCGAAGGCGGCUUUCUGGACAGUAACUGACGCUGAGGCGCGAAAGCGUGGGGAGCAAACAGG
Molecule: ribosomal RNA, 407 nt
Filed under: uncultured prokaryote
Also listed under: 1 other name
Description: bacterial SSU rRNA
Rfam family: Bacterial small subunit ribosomal RNA
Source: RNAcentral